RNAcentral lists this ribosomal RNA (440 nucleotides) under uncultured bacterium. RNAcentral describes it as "partial 16S ribosomal RNA". It matches the Rfam family "Bacterial small subunit ribosomal RNA", at positions 338 to 795 of the family's 1533-position model. The record is from RNAcentral.
CCUACGGGAGGCAGCAGUGGGGAAUAUUGCACAAUGGGGGAAACCCUGAUGCAGCGACGCCGCGUGCGUGAAGAAGUAAUUCGUUAUGUAAAGCUCUAUCAGUAGGGAAGAAAAUGACGGUACCUGAGUAAGAAGCCCCGGCUAACUCCGAUCCAGAAGCCGCGGUAAUACGUAGGGGGCAAGCGUUAUCCGGAUUUACUGGGUGGAAAGGGAGCGUAGACGGCAAUGCAAGUCUGGAGUGAAAGGCGGGGGCUCAACCCCCGGACUGCUCUGGAAACUGUACGGCUGGAGUGCAGGUGAGGUAAGUGGAAUUCCUGGUGUAGCGGUGAAAUGCGUAGAUAUUAGGAGGAACACCAGUGGCGAAGGCAGCUUACUGGACUGUAACUGACGUUGAGGCUCGAAAGCGUGGGGAGCAAACAGGAUUAGAUACCCUAGUAGUC